AAAAAAAUAAGCUAAUUAAGCUAAUGGGUUCAUACCCCAUAUAUAAAGGUAAUAAUCCUUUUUUUUUUA
RNAcentral lists this transfer RNA (69 nucleotides) under Nosodendron fasciculare. Its description in RNAcentral is "tRNA-Met". It matches the Rfam family "tRNA". From Rfam's summary of the family: Transfer RNA (tRNA) molecules are approximately 80 nucleotides in length. Their secondary structure includes four short double-helical elements and three loops (D, anti-codon, and T loops). Further hydrogen bonds mediate the characteristic L-shaped molecular structure. tRNAs have two regions of fundamental functional importance: the anti-codon, which is responsible for specific mRNA codon recognition, and the 3' end, to which the tRNAs corresponding amino acid is attached (by aminoacyl-tRNA synthetases). tRNAs cope with the degeneracy of the genetic code in two manners: having more than one tRNA (with a specific anti-codon) for a particular amino acid; and 'wobble' base-pairing, i.e. permitting non-standard base-pairing at the 3rd anti-codon position. Lineage: Eukaryota; Metazoa; Arthropoda; Insecta; Coleoptera; Nosodendridae. The record is from RNAcentral.